Condylostylus longicornis is the source of this 1417-nucleotide long non-coding RNA. RefSeq lists it as uncharacterized. The transcript is spliced from 6 exons. The record is from RefSeq and is a predicted model, not a curated record. NCBI's taxonomy places the organism in Eukaryota, Metazoa, Arthropoda, Insecta, Diptera, Dolichopodidae.
AAAAUCAUAUUAUGUCUUUUGAUAAUAAAACGAAAGAAAAGCGGAGGAUGUGAGCUCGAUUAAAUUCGACAUAAGAUCAAACUUAAUAAAAAACAAAAUAUUGGAAAAAUGUAAACAAAAUUAACAUGAAGCUUGAAAGCUACACCAAUGCGCAAUUGAGAAUUUUCAUGAAAAUUAAAUCCAGUUCUAUUUACUAAAGUAAAAAAAAGAAGGAAAUGUAGCCUGAUGUUUGGAAAAGUUUUUUCCGGAACUUGUAAAUACUCCUCAUUUAGAUGCUUGCUCAUAUUAGAGAUGUGAAAUUUUUCAAUCACGGUAUAUAUUUUUCGUUCAACUUGAAUGUGCUCCCAAAAACUGGUGAAAGUAUAAAGUUUUCAAUCAGAGAUGUCUUUCAAUGGAUCAAGUCAGUAAAGCCAAAAUAAUGAACGAUUUAAGUGAUGAAAGCAAUGUUCUAUUGAAGUAUAAAUAAUAUUCAGCUGAGUUCAGUAAUUAUUUACUCUUGAACUGAAUCAGAUUCAGAAACUAUACUAGUGCAAUAUGGAACUCAAGAAAAUUUCUACUACAAAAGACUGGUCUUACGGGAUAAAUGUCAUUUAAUGGAUCAAUUCUAGAAGUAAAGUACAAAUAAUAAAAGAUUUGAGUUUAGUUGAAUUCAGUAACUAUUUACUCUUAAACUGAGUCUGAUUCAACAAUUGGAUUAUUGCAAUAUGAAACUCAAGAAAAUUUCUGCUACAAGAUAUUAAGAGGAAGUUUUUCAAUAAGGAGCCAUUUUCCUGAGUAAAUUUUCAAGGAGGGCAAUCACAUUGAUCACAAAUUAAUUGUGAAAAUUAAUUUGAGAGAAAAUCAAAUCAUUGAGAGAAAUAUUUCGGAAUUAAAUAAAAAGUACCAGAAAUAGAUUUGGGUGUCAACAACCCCAAUCUAAAUUUUGCGAUAUAUUGUAAACAACUCAACUAGAGAUAAACAAAAAUAGAAAUUUUCGGCAAAUCCGAGGUGUACCAAACAAUUUUGAGUACUGAGAGCUAUGCAACAACCAAUUUUCAUCGAAAAUUUUUUUAUAAACAACAUAGAAUAUGUUAGGUUUGCUUAAGGAAUUCUAAGGAAUGUUUAUUCACAAUUUUAAUGACCUAGUAAACACUUAUUUCCUGGUACAUUGGAGCUAAAGUGAACAUUAAUUUUCAAUCCAAUUGCAGUACGUCAAAUAUUUUCAAUCAAAUCCAAUUGGAAAGCCUCUGAAUAUUUGAUUUUGAAGUUAUACGAAUAUGAAGAACACGAGUUCAUGUUAACUACAAAAGUAACGAUUUUCAUCAUAAGAAAUUUGCUAGAUUAUGAUUACUUCUAUCUUACUUGUAUCAUUCAUGAAAUAAUUUCUUGGAUCACAUUUUGAAUGUACAUACCAGAAGCGGCUAAUAUUAUUUGCGAG